Molecule: ribosomal RNA, 468 nt
Filed under: uncultured bacterium
Lineage: Bacteria
Description: partial 16S ribosomal RNA
Rfam family: Bacterial small subunit ribosomal RNA
Source: RNAcentral
GACGAACGCUGGCGGCGUGCUUAACACAUGCAAGUCGAACGGAAAGGCCCUGCUUUUGUGGGGUGCUCGAGUGGCGAACGGGUGCGUAACACGUGAGUAACCUGCCCUUGACUUUGGGAUAACUUCAGGAAACUGGGGCUAAUACAGGAUAGGAGCUGCUGCAGCAUGGUGGGGGUUGGAACGUUUCGGCGGUUGGGGAUGGAUUCGGGGCUGAUCAGUUUGUUGGUGGGGUAGUGGCUUACCAAGGCGUUGACGGGUAGCCGGCCUGAGAGGGUGACCGGCCACAUUGGGACUGAGAUACGGCCCAGACUCCUACGGGAGACAGCAGUGGGGAAUAUUACACAAUGGGCGGGAGCCUGACGCAACAACGCCGCGUGCGGGAUGACGGCCUGCUGGUUGUAAACCGCUUUCGCCUAUGACGAAGCGUGAGUGACGGUAAUGGGUAAAGAAGCACCGGCUAACUACGUG